Molecule: ribosomal RNA, 564 nt
Filed under: Streptomyces sp. 340G09
Lineage: Bacteria; Bacillati; Actinomycetota; Actinomycetes; Kitasatosporales; Streptomycetaceae
Description: bacterial SSU rRNA
Rfam family: Bacterial small subunit ribosomal RNA
Source: RNAcentral
UAGUGGCGAACGGGUGAGUAACACGUGGGCAAUCUGCCCUUCACUCUGGGACAAGCCCUGGAAACGGGGUCUAAUACCGGAUAACACUCCUGCCUGCAUGGGCGGGGGUUAAAAGCUCCGGCGGUGAAGGAUGAGCCCGCGGCCUAUCAGCUUGUUGGUGGGGUAAUGGCCCACCAAGGCGACGACGGGUAGCCGGCCUGAGAGGGCGACCGGCCACACUGGGACUGAGACACGGCCCAGACUCCUACGGGAGGCAGCAGUGGGGAAUAUUGCACAAUGGGCGAAAGCCUGAUGCAGCGACGCCGCGUGAGGGAUGACGGCCUUCGGGUUGUAAACCUCUUUCAGCAGGGAAGAAGCGAAAGUGACGGUACCUGCAGAAGAAGCGCCGGCUAACUACGUGCCAGCAGCCGCGGUAAUACGUAGGGCGCAAGCGUUGUCCGGAAUUAUUGGGCGUAAAGAGCUCGUAGGCGGCUUGUCACGUCGGAUGUGAAAGCCCGAGGCUUAACCUCGGGUCUGCAUUCGAUACGGGCUAGCUAGAGUGUGGUAGGGGAGAUCGGAAUUCCU